GUUGAGUGGGAAUAAAGAGCCAACACAAAUUGAAUUGAGAACGCCCAUUUAACAGCGUUUAUUGUGAUUAUAAAGUGGAUAAAACUGCUUAAUUUUAUAUGGUUUCCUGCCAAAAACCCUGCCAAACUUUCUAUGUUUAGCAGGGUUAUUUUG
This 153-nucleotide small RNA is filed under the name Enterococcus canis. RNAcentral describes it as "Listeria sRNA rli38". It matches the Rfam family "Listeria sRNA rli38". The record is from Rfam by way of RNAcentral. Lineage: Bacteria; Bacillati; Bacillota; Bacilli; Lactobacillales; Enterococcaceae.